GAGGCCUGCUAUCAACCAGACCCUGGCAGAGGUGAUCACGGAACAAGCCAACCUCAGCGUCAGCGCUGCCCACUCUUCCAAAGUCCUCUAUGUCAUCACCUCCAGCCCCAGCCACCCACCGCAGACCGUCCCAGGAUGGACCGUGUAUGGCCUGGCCACCCUCCUCAUCCUCACAGUCACAGCCGUUGUGGCAAAGAUCCUUCUGCACGUGACGUUUAAAUCUCAUCGAGUUACUGCUUCAGGAGACCUUAGGGACUGUCGCCAGCCUGGGACUUCUGGGGAGAUCUGGACCAUUUUCUAUGAACCCUCCACUACAAUCUCUAUCUUUAAGAAGAAGCUCAAGGGUCAGAGUCAACAAGAUGACCGUAACCCCCUCGUGAGUGACUGAAGCCUGGCCACACCUGGAUGGGAGGCUCCACUCCAAGCUCCAGCUUGCUGGGACCCCUCCCCCUGAGGUUUCCUCAGAACUCCCUGCCCCUCCAGUCACCUCCAUCUCUUUUGGGGGCACCCUGUUGCCGAGGCAGCACAGCAUGGGGUCCUCCAUCACCUUCUCUACCCUAGCUGCCCUGCAUCUCUGUCCCCACCGGGGAUGCUAAGACUGGGGCUGGGCUGACAGGACGCAGCUGGGCCUGGUUCUCGAAGACUCCUGGGUGGCGGGUAGGCAUAGUGUAUGAUGAGUUUUCUUGCUUCUUCUCUAUUUUGUCUGCAUACAGAUCAGUUCCCCCUGGUCCUUACAGUUUGGAACAGAGCCAGACUAAAAGACUUCUCAGGUUUUCUUAAAGGCUGACCUGGUUCCCCUCCAAGUUUGUUCUCACAAGGGAUAGCACCCUGGAUUAGAGCUUUCUCUGGUGCCGAUUAAGGUAUGUCGUCUAGUCUGAGAGGACUGAGACAGGGCCACACCAGGUGUCUUCUUCCUAGAGGGGUCUUUUCAAUACCCAAUGUCGUAUGGGGCAAGCCUGAUCCAUGGGACAGACACAGUGAACUUCUUGUGUACUAGACUUAACUAGCCUGACCCUUAAGCAGUUCCCAAUCCUGUGGAAUCUGAAUUCAGCCUGUCUUCCUCCUUCAGAGUCAGGAGUUUGAGGACUAGCACAGAGCGGGCCGUAGAGCAGUGGUAGGGAGCUUGCCUUGCAUCCUUCAGGCCCUGGCUCUAUCCCAGUGCUGCCAGAAAGGGGGUAGAGAAAGGACGGCAGCAUAGCAUGCGAGGAGCAUCUAUGGCUCCUACACAAGGCUUUAAAAGAAGGUCAAAACUACCAAGAGCUUUGUCCUUUGCCCCUUCAUGGGGACAGAGUAGUUAGAAGUAAGGGCUCUUGUCGUGCCCAUUGUCCCUUAGACAGGGAGGCAGACUACAGCAUUGGCAGGAAAAGGCCAGGCCUGGGAACUGGAGAUCUCCCAGGAGAGGUUAAAAGAUUGAGAGCCCCAGCUGCAGUCUAAGGGGAAGGGCUAUCCCUGACCGCAAAGUCCUGCAGUCUGGAGUGGCCUUUGUCAGCACAGCUGAGAAAAACAGCCUGUGCCCUGAAGGUGGACCUUGGUCACUCUCCUGCCAGCCCUUGAGCCUCUGCUCUCCUGGGUGUCCUCCUGGAAUACUAAGCUCACCUUCCCUGAGUCUCUCAGCCACUGCCACUGAGGUCUUUCGUAGGGUUUGGGCAUCUCAUCUCCAGCUAUGCCCCCAGGACUAUAUGGACAGCAUCUGGGAAGCAUCCUCAAGGAGAGGCAGCAGAGUGCAGACAAGGCAGUGACCAGAGCUGAUGGCUAGAGAGGCAACCAGAGGAGGAACACUGGGUCUCUACAGUGGGCUGAGAGGCUGGCCCAGCUCCUAUGGGAGGCCUGCAGGGGUACAGAGCUACUGGGCUUCGUCAUCUCACUUUGAUCUGGGAAAGGCUGCAGGCUCCUGGCUGUGAAGACCACUGGAAAUUGAGUGACAGGAACAGGUUCCACUCCACAGCAUUUGCAGGCUCUCCCCUGAGAACAAGCGUUGAGUCACAGAGCACCAUGUGCAUAGUACAGAGAGGACGUGGGCUCUUUCCCAGGGAAGGCUCACUGGCCAGGACAUGCUCAGCUCAGGCCACCUCUCGCCUGCCUCUGCAUACCUCGGAGGCAGGAAGCCAAGGCCCAGUGUGGUGGCAGCUGCAGCCCAGGAGCCCUGUAUUGGUGUCCCCAGGAAGGGCAGUGGAUGUGCCCACGCUCCUCCAACAGCAGCAGGGGACAGUGGGAAGGGCUAUAAAUCACCCAGGCCAGACCCAGAAAUGACAUCCACGGUCUGUUAGAACCUGUAGGUGGCCGGUCACAGAGGGCCUUUGUGCUGGUAAACACCCAGCUGGAGUGAACCUGAGGGAGAAGCGCAGACCCUCAGACAUUAGCUAGAAGCAUGGGUGCCUGUGUUCUUCCCUUCCUGUC
RNAcentral lists this long non-coding RNA (2397 nucleotides) under Rattus norvegicus (Norway rat). Its description in RNAcentral is "long non-coding RNA NONRATT010111". The record is from RNAcentral. Lineage: Eukaryota; Metazoa; Chordata; Mammalia; Rodentia; Muridae.